Molecule: small RNA, 18 nt
Filed under: Arabidopsis thaliana (thale cress)
Lineage: Eukaryota; Viridiplantae; Streptophyta; Magnoliopsida; Brassicales; Brassicaceae
Description: ATSL131100
Source: RNAcentral
UUUUUUUUUCCUUUUUGU